RNAcentral lists this unclassified non-coding RNA (309 nucleotides) under uncultured fungus. RNAcentral describes it as "sequence contains ITS2". Lineage: Eukaryota; Fungi. The record is from RNAcentral.
AACGCACCUUGCACCCUUUGGUAUUCCGAAGGGUACACCCGUUUGAGUGUCAUUGUAAUCUCACUGUGUUCGACUUUUUGUCGUUCGUAUGUGGACCUGGAUGUUGCCGUUGGUUUUCAACGGCUCGUCUGAAAUGCCUGAGUGUACCCCGCUUUGCGGCGUAUUCGGUGUGAUAUAUUGUCACCGGAGUUGAUCCUUUUGGGUCGCGUCUGUAGGAGUGUGGCUCUAUGCUUUCCAACUGUCCCUUCACUGGGACAAUCUUCUUGACAAUUUGACCUCAAAUCGGGUGGGACUACCCGCUGAACUUAA